UACCUGGUUGAUCCUGCCAGUAGUCAUAUGCUUGUCUCAAAGAUUAAGCCAUGCAUGUCUCAGUAUAAGACUUUACAUGUCGAAACUGCGAAUGGCUCAUUAAAACAGUUAUAGUUUAUUUGAUGGUCACUCGUUAUAUGGAUAACUGUGGUAAUUCUAGAGCUAAUACAUGCAUAAAAACCCGACUUCAAGGAAGGGUUGUAUUUAUUAGAUACAGAACCAAUCCGGUUUUCCGGUUGUUGGAUGACUCAUAAUAAAUGAACGGAGCGUAUGGCUUGUGCCGACGCUGUAUCAUUCAAGUUUCUGACCUAUCAGCUUUCGAUGGUAGGGUAUUGGCCUACCAUGGCAUUGACGGGUAACGGAGAAUUAGGGUUCGAUUCCGGAGAGGGAGCCUGAGAAACGGCUACCACUUCUAAGGAAGGCAGCAGGCGCGCAAAUUACCCAAUUCUGACUCAGGGAGGUAGUGACAAGAAAUAACAAUAAACCGGCUUAUGCCGGUUUAAUUGGAAUGAGUACAAUUUAAACAUCUUAACGAGGAACAAUUGGAGGGCAAGUCUGGUGCCAGCAGCCGCGGUAUUCCAGCUCCAAUAGCGUAUACUAAAGUUUGUUUGCAGUUAAAAAGCUCGUAGUUGGAUUUCUGUGGGUGACGGAGCGGUCCGGCCGCACAUCGCGGUUCGAGCUAGCGCUUUCCCUACAUCCUGCCGCGAACCGUGCUACCAUUAGUUUGGUGGCGCCGGGGAUCGGCUCGAUUACUUUGAGAAAAAUAGAGUGUUCAAAGCAGGCCACAUGCCUUGAAUAAGUUAGCAUGGAAUAAUAACUAAGGACUUCGGUUCUAUUUUGUUGGUGUUCGGGACUGAAGUAAUGAUUGAUAGGGACAGUUGGGGCGGUCUGUAUUCCAAAGCGAGAGGUGAAAUUCUUAGACCUUCGGAAGACAAACAGCUGCGAAAGCGUUCCGCAAGGAUGUUCCCUUUGAUCAAGAACGAAAGUUGGGGGAUCGAAGACGAUCAGAUACCGUCGUAGUCUCAACUAUAAACUAUACCAGCUAGGGAUCGGCCAACGUUAUUUCAAACCGACUUGGUCGGCACCUUAUGAAAAAUCAAAGCAUCUGGGUUCCGGGGGGAGUAUGGUCGCAAGGCUGAAACUUAAAGGAAUUGACGGAAGGGCACCACCAGCCGUGGAGCCUGUGGCUUUAAUUUGACUCAACACGGGAAAACUUACCAGGUCCAGACAUAGUAAGGAUUGACAGAUUGAUAGCUCUUUCUUGAUUCUGUGGGUGGUGGUGCAUGGCCGUUCUUAGUUGGUGGAGUGAUUUGUCUGGUUAAUUCCGUUAACGAACGAGACCCCAGCCUGCUAAAUAGCGCGCGUGAGCUUUGCUCGCGGCGAGCUUCUUAGAGGGACUAUGAUGCGCGAUAGCACAUGGAAGUUUGGGGCAAUAACAGGUCUGUGAUGCCCUUAGAUGUUCUGGGCCGCACACGGGCUACACUGGCGCCUGCAACGAGCAUAUCAGCUGGUCCGAGAGGAUCUUGGCUAAUCUUUUGAACCGGCGCCGUGCUUGGGAUUGACCUUUGCAAUUGUUGGUCAUGCAACGAGGAAUGCCUUGUAAACGCGAGUCAUCAGCUCGCAUUGAAUACGUCCCUGCCCUUUGUACACACCGCCCGUCGCUCCUACCGAUGAAUGUUCCGAUGAAAUUUUCGGAGAGUGCCUGUGAACUUGGCUCUGCCUUGCGAACGGGAAGCUCAAAGUCACUUAAAUCUGAACAUUUCGAGGAAGGAGAAGUCGUAACAAGGUUUCCGUAGGUGAACCUGCAGAAGGAUC
This 1815-nucleotide ribosomal RNA is filed under the name uncultured eukaryote. RNAcentral's name for it is "SSU rRNA". It matches the Rfam family "Eukaryotic small subunit ribosomal RNA". The record is from RNAcentral.